RNAcentral lists this ribosomal RNA (350 nucleotides) under Etheostoma caeruleum (rainbow darter). RNAcentral describes it as "partial 12S ribosomal RNA". It matches the Rfam family "Bacterial small subunit ribosomal RNA", at positions 804 to 1357 of the family's 1533-position model. Lineage: Eukaryota; Metazoa; Chordata; Actinopteri; Perciformes; Percidae. The record is from RNAcentral.
AAACAUUGGUAACACAACACAUUUGUUACCCGCCUGGGAACUACGAGCAUUAGCUUAAAACCCAAAGGACUUGGCGGUGCUUUAGAUCCACCUAGAGGAGCCUGUUCUAGAACCGAUAACCCCCGUUCAACCUCACCUCCCCUUGUUAUCCCCGCCUAUAUACCGCCGUCGUCAGCUUACCCUGUGAAGGUUAAAUAGUAAGCAAAAUUGGCACAACCUAAAACGUCAGGUCGAGGUGUAGCGUAUGGGGAGGGAAGAAAUGGGCUACAUUUCCUACAACAGGAAAUACGAACGAUGCACUGAAACGUGCAUCCGAAGGAGGAUUUAGCAGUAAGAGGGAAGUAGAGCGU